UACAUAGGGUGCGAGCGUUAAUCGGAAUUACUGGGCGUAAAGCGUGCGUAGACGGUAGCGUAAGUCAGAUGUGAAAGCCCCGGGCUCAACCUGGGAACUGCAUUUGAGACUGCUCUGCUCGGGUGCGGAAGAGGGAAGCGGAAUUUCCGGUGUAGCGGUGAAAUGCGUAGAUAUCGGAAGGAACACCAGUGGCGAAAGCGGCUUCCUGGUCCGACACCGACGUUCAGGCACGAAAGCGUGGGGAGCAAACAGG
RNAcentral lists this ribosomal RNA (253 nucleotides) under uncultured bacterium. RNAcentral's name for it is "partial 16S ribosomal RNA". It matches the Rfam family "Bacterial small subunit ribosomal RNA", at positions 524 to 776 of the family's 1533-position model. The record is from RNAcentral.